AAAUUGAAGAGUUUGAUCAUGGCUCAGAUUGAACGCUGGCGGCAGGCCUAACACAUGCAAGUCGAACGGUAACAGGAAACAGCUUGCUGUUUCGCUGACGAGUGGCGGACGGGUGAGUAAUGUCUGGGAAACUGCCUGAUGGAGGGGGAUAACUACUGGAAACGGUAGCUAAUACCGCAUAAUGU
This 185-nucleotide ribosomal RNA is filed under the name Escherichia coli. Its description in RNAcentral is "partial 16S ribosomal RNA". It matches the Rfam family "Bacterial small subunit ribosomal RNA", at positions 1 to 179 of the family's 1533-position model. RNAcentral also lists the same sequence under 1 other name. Lineage: Bacteria; Pseudomonadati; Pseudomonadota; Gammaproteobacteria; Enterobacterales; Enterobacteriaceae. The record is from RNAcentral.